Molecule: ribosomal RNA, 475 nt
Filed under: uncultured bacterium
Lineage: Bacteria
Description: bacterial SSU rRNA
Rfam family: Bacterial small subunit ribosomal RNA
Source: RNAcentral
GCACCAGACUCCUACGGGAGGCAGCAGUGGGGAAUAUUGCACAAUGGGCGCAAGCCUGAUGCAGCCAUGCCGCGUGUAUGAAGAAGGCCUUCGGGUUGUAAAGUACUUUCAGCGGGGAGGAAGGUGCUGAGGUUAAUAACCUUGUCGAUUGACGUUACCCGCAGAAGAAGCACCGGCUAACUCCGUGCCAGCAGCCGCGGUAAUACGGAGGGUGCAAGCGUUAAUCGGAAUUACUGGGCGUAAAGCGCACGCAGGCGGUCUGUCAAGUCGGAUGUGAAAUCCCCGGGCUCAACCUGGGAACUGCAUUCGAAACUGGCAGGCUGGAGUCUUGUAGGGGGGGGUAGAAUUCCAGGUGUAGCGGUGAAAUGCGUAGAGAUCUGGAGGAAUACCGGUGGCGAAGGCGGCCCCCUGGACAAAGACUGACGCUCAGGUGCGAAAGCGUGGGGAGCAAACAGGAUUAGAUACCCUCGUAGUG